Molecule: long non-coding RNA, 16820 nt
Filed under: Populus trichocarpa (black cottonwood)
Lineage: Eukaryota; Viridiplantae; Streptophyta; Magnoliopsida; Malpighiales; Salicaceae
Description: long non-coding RNA (PTRI_LNC001282)
Rfam family: tRNA (bases 10534-10606)
Source: RNAcentral
CUGCGAAAACCUUAUAGUUGAAAAGAAAAGGGAAAGAAAAUUAACCAAUUUUACAUUCAACGACACAAUACUACAAAAACUUGCUUAUAGUAGUAACUUCCUCUCAUGGUGAUUUUGUUGGACCCUUAUCCUUUCAGCGAAAUCUAAUCAUAAUGCUAAGCACUCAUUCAGAUUUUUUCAAGUCGUCAUUUUGUUCUCUCUGCAUUGCAAUUUGGUACGAUUUACUCUUCCAAUAAACAAUGCGCUGGUUUUUAAAUGGAGAUAAGGGUAAAUUUUGAAUUUUUUUGAAUUUUUUUUAUUGUUUUAAUAUACUAAUAUAAAAAAAUAUUAUUUUAAUAUAUUUUUAAAUAAAAAAAUAUUUUAAAAAACAAUUCCUCAACCAUCCUAUUAACAAGGAAAAGAGGAAGAAGCGAGAAAAUACUCAUCAGUGCGAGCACCUCCCCCAGUAGGCAAAAGCUCGUGACAAGGGGAUAAGAAUCUGAAUAAUACAGACAAGCCCUCCUGCUCCUUGUCUCUCGGCUUUUCAACAUGCUCGGAAUCCUCAGCCUCUCAAAUUAUUGCAUCCAUCUCGAUUCAAAACACAACCACUGCCUCUCAACUUGCGUGUGCACACAGGCAAAUAUGGCCACGACCCAUGCUUGGUUUCUCUCUUUUGGAAAGCAAACUUGCCAUUUCCUUACUUAAUAAGUUACAAGAAAAUAAUAUAUUCGUUAUUAAAAGUUUAUAUAAUUAUUAAUUUUAAAAUUUAUAGAAUUAGUUAAAAUACACACAAAUUAAUUCGGACAGUUAUCUUAAUUAAAAAAUAAAAGUUACAGGAAAACUAGUGCAUUAAUCUCAAAACUGUUCCCUGUCGCACGCCUUAAAGUUUUAGAUUUUUUACUAACUUAUGCUUCCCUGUCAUUGAAAUUUGGUUUGCUUGUCGUUUGUCAUCAGGUACAGCACGACAUUGUUGCUUUCCACUUACCAUUUUGAGGACAUGAUCGAAAUGCUUUCCUUCUAAGUAUGUACUAACUUUGGCUAUUUAAUCCGUGAAACGUUGCGGGCUGUAAUUUUUUUAAUAAAAAAAAAUAUUAAUAAUAAUGAGAAGAGAAAUUUAAAAAAAUUAAAAAAUGAGUAUAAAUCAAGAUAUUUAAUCAUACAAAAUAAGAUAUUUAUCUGUUUAUAUUUGUUGAACUUGUUUAUUUAAAUUAAUAAAAAAUAAUAUAAAUAAAAAAACAAAUAGAAUUGAUUGAAUAAACUCAUACCCUAGAAAAUAUAUUACACAAGGCCAAAUAUAACAUAAAUAUUAUUUAAAAAUGAUUUUUUUUUUAUUUUGAAAAAUAAAUUUCAUUUGUAUAAAACCAAAAAAAAAAAUCAUGGAUGAAUUAGAAUAAUAUUUUCAAAAUCAAAUACAAACAAUUUUUUUUAAAAAAACUUUUAUUCAAAAAAGGCUUGUAAAACCUGUGAUCUAGGUCAUAAGACUGUGAUAAAUUUCUAGAAAAGAAAUUGAAGAUAAUCACAAAAACAAUCUGUAAAAAAAAACACUAAUAUAGAACGUUGAGAUAGCAAAAAGAAAAUGAGAAGAAAAAAAGAUAUUGAACGAUAUUAACUUUUCAAACACAUGGCCCGGGUCAUUAAACGGGAAGCACUAUAAAUGAAAAAAUUACGAAGUUCAAUUCCCAACAAAUCAAAAAUCAAAGAAAUGAAACCAUGAAAAAAAUUAGCAACACAAAAGAAUCUAAAAACUAUAUAAUUAAAAGAACAAGGUUGAAAAUUAAAAUAAAAAAAUAAAUUAGAGGGAAAACAAAAAACUACAAUUAGCAAAUGAAAAAAAUUAGCAACACAAAAGAAUCUAAAAACUAUAUAAUUAAAAGAAAAAGGAUGAAAAUUAAAAUAAAAAAAUAAAUUAGAGGGAAAACAAAAAAAUACAAUUAGAGGGUUACUGGAUUGAAAAAUAACUUUAACAAAAGGAAAAAACAAAUCAAGAGAAUUAAGGUCAAAUUAAAAAAAAAAAAAACAACAUAAACUUUGAUUGGAGGAUGAAAUUGAAAGCCACCAGAACUUUAGUAAUAGGGUCAGGGAAAAAAAUUAAAAAUCAAAAGAAUAAGGAUCAAAAUGAAAAAAAUAAUAUAUGAGAAAUUGUAAUUGAAAAACUAAAUUGCAAAUAAAUAAAUUUUUUAUAAAAGAAAUAUGAACAAAAAUAAAAAAUUAAAAGAAUGAGAAUUGAAAUUGAAAUACUAAGAAUAAAAAGGAUAAUCGUGCACCUUUUCUAGCAUUAGAGAGAGAGAGAGAGAAAAAAAAAAAAACCCCGGAGACACUCCAACAAUUAUAUGUCGUCAUGCGCCGCACUAGGAGGAAGAUGAUACAAUGAUACUUUUAAAAAAAUAGUAGAAGGUUAAGUUAGACCACUGGAUGACAUUGCACGCGCCACCCAAAUAACUUUAAAAAUUAAAAAAACUGUGUGAAAAAACAAAAACACCCCAAACACAUACCUUAUUUAUUGUCUUUCUAAUAUAAAAUGUGUUUUUUUACUGUAUACUAAGAAGGUAAAAACCAAAAAAACCAUUAGCCAAUAGCUUUAUAAUUUUUUAACCUUAGAGUGAAAAGGUAUUUUUAUUAUUUUAAAGUCUAAGAAAAGAUUAAAAAAAAAAACACAUGGUCAAACGGUUAUAUAUUUUGUUAAACUUAGGGGUAAAAGCUUAUUUUACUACAUAAAAUUUUUUAAAAAGAUAAAUAAGCCCCCGAAUAAUCUUUUAAUAAUCAAGAAUUUAUAUAAAAAAAACCAAACUACCCUUAGUACAAAACUUCCCAUUUUCUUAACUGAAUAAUAUAACGAUAAUUUUAUUAUAGCAAUCUUAGUACCUUGUUUAAUGAUAAAGUGAAAAACUCACGUAUAUAUUUUUCCUGUGAAUAUUCAAUUAUAUGGAAGAUAAGUAAGAGACCAACAUAAUCAUAAUUAACGAGAUGAUGACAUAAUUGGAUAAAUUGUCAUUUCUAAUCCAUAUUCUGAAAAAAAGAAAACCAUAUUCUGAAAAAAAGAAAACUAUAGACAAGUGUUAUAUAUAUAUAACCAUAGACUAGUUAACUAAUCUCAACACCAACCUUAAUUCAUCAACCCUUUUCAGUUAACAUUCAAGAACAACCUCAGUUGCUACAUAAAUCAGUAUUGAUGGUUUUAAGGAUUUAGAACUCUAGAUGCAAAAUCGCAGAAAAGUAGACAAUUUAUGAAGUUGGAAUUUCAUUUUUCAGCACAAUCUCGCCCGAGCUUCCAAAGCAGCCUUUAGCUCUCCACUUUUUUCCGACCACUGCAACGGAGAGUGCCCUCAACUUCCGGUUGACUGAAGGUAUAGAUUAAUCCAUGUACUUCCCUCAUUUCACAGCUCUUCUUUAAUUAUUUCAGGGGCCCAUGAAAAUAAAAGGAAAAGAAAGGAAAAAAGCCAAGAUAAUUAAUUUUGUCCAUGCAUUCUGCACUGACAUUGGGUAUACCUGUGAAGUAAACUGACAGACAUAGCAAGUGUCGGCGCUUCUACUCAUCCCAUCCCCUUGUCUCGUGACAGCACCUCCCUUUACUCUCCGGCGGGUUAAUGGUGGGCCUUUAGCCCUUUACUCUCUCAUCUUCGAUAUUCCUAGUUAUGCUUAUCUUAAUGACAUCCUCCUACUCUGUUUAUUAAUCAAUUGGUCUUUCCAUCAACUACUUGUUGAGCUCAGAGCUCUCAAGUGAAGAAAUUAUAAUAAGAUAGUUUUUCUCUUCCGCGAUGAAAUUGUAUUUUUAAGAAUUUUAUUUUUUGUGUUUUUAAAUUAUUUUAAUAUAUUAAUAUUUUUUUAAAAUAAUAUUAUUUAAUAUAUUUCUAAAUAAAAAUUAUUUUAAAAAUUAAAUGUUAUCAUAAUAACAAAUACCGCCUAAAUGGAGUCAAGUUUGAGAUUACAUGUAACUUAGGGAAGAGAUUUAAUUAAAUACAACUAUUUAUAAAAUGAUUAAUUGAAUAUAAAAUGAAGAUAAAAUAGAAACAUAAUGAUUGAAAUUAUAAUCAUACGACAUGUUAAUAAACAAUAUUCACACUACUAUUUAGUAGAUGAUUUAGCGGUAAGAGUUUGAAAUAAAAAAAUUUGAUCCUUCUAUGAUCAUAAGUUCGAGUAAUGUGAUUACUAAUAUGAUAAUCACUAGAAAUUUACAUGGUCGUUAACUUCAGCGCUUAUGUGAUUAGUCAAGGUAUGCGCAAGCUACCUCAAACACCCUUAUUAAUAAUAAUUAAAAAAAAAAACAACAUUCACAGUUGGUUGUGUUGAAAAAUAAUUCGAUUCUAAACAAACAUGAUUCUAAAACAUGGGCCUACACGAAACAACUUGUUUUUGUAAAAAUACACCGUAAAUAUGAAUUAAACUUGGAUGCCAGGACCCACUUUACAUGUCCACAGUCAAGGCAAAUCGAUUACGAGGACCAGACUAAGAUAAGUUGAGAAAUAAAGGGAUUAAAUGCACCAUUAAAUAAAAAUAAAUAAAUAAAUAAAACCAAAACCUCAACACCACACUACACUUUACAUUUGCGUAUGCUAAAAGAAGAAGCCACCACCACAACCCAUCUUCAGCACCAUGAAGAACCUCUCUCCUCCCCAUCACGCUCUUCUUUUCACUGCACUGCUCGCUCAAUUACCCCUGUUUCAGUCAAGCUACCACGAGUACCAAGAUGCAUUAUCAAAGUCCAUUCUUUUCUUCGAGGGUCAAAGGUCAGGCUAUUUGCCACAAGACCAACGCGUAACUUGGCGUGCUAAUUCAGGCCUAAGUGAUGGGUGGACAUAUAAUACAGACCUGACUGGUGGCUACUAUGAUGCCGGUGAUAAUGUCAAGUUUGGCUUCCCCAUGGCAUUCACAACUACAAUGUUGGCGUGGAGUGUGAAUGAAUUUGGAGACUUAAUGCCUCCGAAUGAGUUGAGAAACAGCUUAGUUGCCAUUCGUUGGGCCACCGAUUAUCUGCUCAAGACUGUUUCUCAGCCUAACCGGAUUUUUGUUCAGGUAAGUCAUAAGUGGCAUGGGACACUGUAGUUUUUCUCUCUCUUUUUGGUAAAUGCCAGGGGGUAGUUUUGUGAUUUUCUGGAUGGGUAGGGGUAGUCUGGGGAGUUGGGGUAUGUGAGUUGCGUCGGGCGAGGUUGAACUAAUCAGGAGUGAGUGAAGAAAUGUAGAUAUGUGGCCAAAUUGUGUAAAACUUGGUCGACAGAAUCAAAAUAUAAAUACAUUUUGUUUGAUGUUUUAUUUUGACCAAAAUAAUUUGAUUUGGCUGUUUAAUUAAUACUAAGUUCCUUAAGCUAUAGGUGGGGGAUCCAAAUGUAGACCAUAUUUGUUGGGAAAGACCAGAGGACAUGGAUACUCCUAGGAUUGUUUAUGCUAUAGGUAUGAGAGUUGCGUCGGGCGAGGGUGAACUAAUCAUGGAGUGAGUGAAGAAACGUAGAUAUGGGGCCAAAUUGUGUAACACUUGGUCGACAGAUUGUCCUGUACUGACUUUUUGGCCCCCACAAGUCACCCGGUGAAAUAUUAGGUUUGACCAGAUUAAGAUUUCACCUGCCUUCACACUGCAUUUAAGUGUGUGCUUGACACUCUCUGAUAUAGGUUUGGCUAAGUUCAUGGAUCCAAAUCCAUGAUUUGGAAGUUAAUGAAAGUUGUUUAAUCAACUAAAGCCAUCUACUCAGAGAGUGUUUAUUUAUUUUUUAUUCAAAUUAAUUUUGUUUUAUGACUUUAGAUUGAUUUAAUAUAUCAUAUUAAAAAUAAAUUAAAAAAAAUAAUGGUAGCUGGGGAGGGGGCCAUUUCCUUUUCAAUUUUCAUUGCCAUCAUCGGUUCUGCAAUGAUGCACGACAGUACUCUGUUGUCCUAGAAGGUCCAGGACUUGUAUGGGUCAAGAAAUUGGGCCCAUCAUGUUUAUGUUUCGUGGGGAAUAAGAAUUUAGCCUACGCUUUAAGACUGUAUAAUGCGCUUCACUUCCCUUGACGGGACGAUUGAUCUACCAUGAUUGUUUUGUUAAUUUCAAGGACUAAUUAAGCCCAUAGUGAUAAUUAAUCAGAAUCAAAACAUAAAUACAUUUUGUUUGAUGUUUUAUUUUGACCAUAAUAAUUUGAUUUGGCUGUUUAAUUAAUACUAAGUUUUUUACGCUACAGGUGGGGGAUCCAAAUGGAGACCAUAUUUGCUGGGAAAGACCAGAGGACAUGGAUACUCCUAGGGUUGUUUACGCUGUGGAUGCUCCAAACCCGGCAUCUGAUGUUGCCGGUGAGACUGCGGCAGCCUUGGCAGCUUCAUCUAUGGCAUUUCGAUCGUCGGACCCGGGAUAUGCAGAAACAUUACUAAGAAACGCCAUUAAUGCCUUCCAAUUUGCUGAUAGUUACAGAGGAGCUUAUAGUGACAACUCCAAUAUUAAAGAUGGUGCAUGCCCAUUCUAUUGCGAUUUUGAUGGUUAUCAAGUGAGUAGAAACUCUUUGAUGAUUUGAUCAAUUUGCAAUGCUGUCUGCGUGCUAAUUUCUUACCAUUUGUAGGAAUCAGACUAAUUUUAAGUACUCUGGAUAAAGGAUGUGUUAAAUUAUUAAAUUCAGACUGAUCUGAUUCUAUUUUGACUGGUUUCGUCAGGAUGAGUUGCUAUGGGGAGCAGCAUGGCUUAGGAGGGCAUCUUACGAUGACACUUACCUUAGUUUCUUACAAAACAAUGGGGAGACCCUGGGAGCUGAUGAAAAUAUUAAUGAAUUUGGGUGGGACAACAAGCAUGCUGGCCUUAAUGUUCUUGUCUCAAAGGUUAGUGGUAAAUUUGAACAAGCUUGCACACCUGAUUCUUUACACCAGUCUUGAAUCAAUUCUUUACUAUAAUUGAUUUCAAAGUUUGUUAAUUGAAUUCUUUUAUUUGAAAUGGGUUUUAAAAAUAUGAAAUUCAUUUUAUUUUACUUAGUAAAAACAUAUUAUUUACUUGAUUUGUCUUUGCUCCGACAUAAUUAAUUUAAAGCAUACGUGUGAGAGGAAGAGGAGAGAAAAGAGUGCUGAGAUUUAUUUUUGAUGGAUCAAUUCUGAAGUAAAUCACACAUUUUUUGGUGUGUAAUUUGCAAAAUUUCUUUUCAUUUCCAUAGGGUAUUUCUGGAGGUUAGAAGGCACCACUCUCGUCGCACAAAAUACACGGAAACCUCCAACACGUCUUCUAGUGCUAUACACCCGCCUGUUUUUUUUUUUAUAUAUAUAUUCAAAUAUCAAAUUACCCCUAGAUUAACAUGGUAAUAACAAAAAUAUCAUGUGAAAAGAUGGAAAAACUCAUUAACUCCGGUUUUAAAAUUUGUUUUUAAAGGUAUUUUGGUUCAUUUAUUAUGCUUUUUAAUUGUUUAUCAUUUUUUAUAUUUGAUCAAAUAUUAAAUUACCUUUCAGUUAACAUUAUAAUAACAAAAAAUCAUUGUAAAAAAAAUAUGAAAAUAUCCUAUAAUGCUAGUUUUAAUUUUUUUGUUUUCAAUGGUGUUUUUAUCAUUUCAUUAAAAAAUUUAUUUAUUCCCGAUUAAUUAAAUAAUGAUUAAUCGACAUUUAAAAACUAGUGUUAAGUUUUUUAGAUAAAGAAACAUAACUAUAAUUAUACUAUUUCAAUUAACAAUAUUUUUAAGUUUGCAUUUAUAGUUUUUUCGCAAGGAUGUUUAGAUUCAUUGAGAUUCUAUAUAUGUUAAUUUGAUUAUUGUGUGAUAGGAAGUUCUAGAAGGAAACAUGAACUCUCUCCAGUCAUACAAAGAAUCAGCUGAUAGCUUCAUGUGCACCCUCAUACCUGAAUCAUCAUCCUCUCACGUAGAAUACACUCCCGGUGGCCUAAUCUACAAGCCAGGAGGCAGCAACCUGCAGCAUGCAACAACGAUCUCAUUUUUGCUACUUGCUUAUGCAAAUUACCUGGAAAGAACAUCGCAAUCUGUCAAUUGUGGAAAUGUAAAUGUCGGUCCAUAUUCACUUCGGCAACAGGCUAAGAGGCAAGUUGAUUACAUUUUAGGAGAUAACCCUUUGGGAUUGUCUUAUAUGGUCGGAUAUAGCGACCAUUAUCCUCAACGGAUUCAUCACCGUGGGUCAUCGUUGCCGUCGGUUAAGGAUCAUCCUGAUCUUAUAGCUUGCAAAGAAGGUUCAAUCUACUGCAAUUCAUCAAACCCUAACCCUAACGUUCAUGUUGGGGCUAUUGUGGGUGGACCUAGCGAAGAUGAUUCAUACGAAGAUAGUCGAGAUGAUUUUAGAAAAUCCGAGCCAACAACGUAUAUUAAUGCACCAUUUGUUGGUGUGCUUGCUUAUUUUGCAGCAAAUCCCAGUUUUAGUUGAGGCAAACAGAGCUCAAUUUUGCACAUAAACCAGUGUUUAUUGGCAUUUAAAAGUCGGAGGAAUGUCUCUCAUCCUGGCGAAAGCAAAGAGGGUGGAGGCUUGGUAGCUGCUGAAUUGUUAGCACUGGAUCACGAAGAAUCGUCGUGACUUCUUACAAAGGAUAAGGAACUGAUUUUGAGAUGUAAAAUCCCAUUCUGGCUUUAAUUAAUCUGAUACAAGGAAAUGAAAUCUUCCAUUUUCUUGCGAGUUGCCUCAUCUUCCAUUUUCUUGAUAUUUCAUUUUCAAUUUAGUUGUAAGAACAGAACAUUCGCUGGCCGGCUUUCAAUCAAUUGAAAGACAUGUGAUGUGUUUCGUGACUUUAUAGGCAUCCCCUUUACAGAUUCCUGCCUGUGAAAAUUUAAUUCCGCUCUUGAAAAGCUUUCGUUCAAUUUACCACUUUUUAGUGGGCUCUUGACUCAAAAGCCACUUAGCUUCUCUUUAAUUUUUGUGUGUUCUUAGGUCAGCUUUUGAGAUUAACUAGAUUUGAUGCCCGUUAUCCACUCCAGUGGGACAAAAACAAUUUCUAUGUAAAAGAUAGAAAAAUUUGAGAUAUGAGUUAAUGAUUUAAUUGAUAAUUUAAAUAAUAUGAAUAAAAAAAAUAAAAUAACAAAAGAAAUUGACAAAGAAAUAAUAAAGAAAAAAAAAUAGACACGAGCUCAUUUGAAUUAUUAAACAGUCCAAUGUUAAAAAGAUGAAACUAUAAAAAAAUAAAAAAAAAUAAGAAAAACCUGUUAAACUAGGUGAACUUACAAAUUUCACGAUCAUGGGUAUAAGAGAAAAUUUUUUGAAAAAUAAAAUUAAAAUAAAUCAAUUUAAAAAAAAACAAAAGUCAAUCCAUAUUGACUUUUGAAAUUAGUGAACCUCUUAAACUUGUUUUAAUCUCUAAAAUUCACAAUCCGUGAAAUCUUGAACCCGAAUUCAAUCAACUAAUUUAAUUUUGAAGGAUGAAAUCACAAAAAAAAAAAAUUACAAAGCAAAAAAGGUGGCAAUAAAAAGAAUAAGAAUAAAGAUAAAAUUUGAUAGAAAAACCUUAAGAAGGGUGAAAUUGUUAAAACAAAAAACCAAUUUAAAAAGAUCCCAAAUAAAACAAAUAACAAAAAAAAAAAAUGAUGACCUGAGUUUUAUCUUCGGUUAAUCGGGUUAUAGAUUAACCUGAGUUUUUAACCGAAUCAGGUUGAAUGAAUCUUUUUUUUUUUAUUUUAAACUCAAACCAAUCCAAAUCUUGGAUCUAUCAUUCAUAAAAUAAAACAAAUUAUCUAGUGAAUUUAAAAUACAUAGGAUAAGACAAUUAUCUGUCCAGUCCAGUCCAAUAAAUACUGUGCAGCUUAAUCUUAUUCAUUCCUCUUUUUUUUUCUUAUCCUGCUAAUUAAAACGCGUAGCAUGAUAGCGGGGGUGUGAGAAAUGUUUACUAGAGUAUGCAAAAUUGGCCAAAUGGCCAGAUGAUCAUUGCUAAAGAUCGUAAGGAGAAAGGCUGAAAGAGCAAUGACAUUGACACCUACUGAACAUGGCUGGCUUAUUUCACGUUAUGAACCAAGUUUCUCUUUUAUGAAUGGUUAGACAUUGAUUUCUUGGAUCAUCUAACGUUAGUAAAGUUCAUUUAUUGGCCCAACACCAGUCAUUUUGUUCCCUAUCUACCGUAUUCAACUGGUUUCACCAUUAUAUCAAGAAAAUGGAAGAUGAGGCAACUUGCAAGUUCAUCAAAACAAUGAGGCGUGGUUGCCAAAAAUUGAUAAACCAACACAGGUUCUUUUAUUUUGAUCUGGUAAACAAGUUAAUGGGAUUCUCGAGGUGUUAAGCUUGGAUGGUUUGUAGAUUUACUUACUCAUUUGCUUAUCAUUUUGGUUAAGAUUUAGAAGAUAAAUAAAAGGAGGAAUUUUUUUAUAUAUAAAUAAAUAAAUCAAUUUGGACAUGGAUGUAAGAGAAAGAAGCUGGUCCAAAAAUGCUUCACGACAGAGAGCUAUCCUUCUGCUCUCCUCUCUCAAGAACUUCAGGUCUUCAACAGACGUUUGCCGGGUAGCUGCGUAAAAAUGGAGUUGGAUUAGUGGGCCUAAAAAAGGUUUUAUGGGCUUGUUCGAACCGCUCAAUUAACUGGGCUCAAUACAGGAUCUAUUCCAAAAGCUGAAAAGGGAAUGUCCAAAUCGCUCAACAUCAAUGAAUAGGAAUAAUUUCUUAAUGAAAAUUAAAUUUCAAAUUUACCUGCCAACAACUUGUCAACAAUCCGUUGUAGUCUAGUUGGUUAGGAUACUCGGCUCUCACCCGAGCGACCCGGGUUCAAGUCCCGGCAACGGAAAUAAUUUCUUUUUCCGGGCAAACAACAAAUAUGCAGCCUUCUAUUCUUAUAUACGCCCUAAAAACAGAGGGCAAUGAGAAUAAACUAAAAAAAUUGGCUCGCCGUUUUGACAAACAAGAAAAUGAGCAGAUCCAUUAACAAAUGCACGAAAAUAACCCAAGAGCCCAAAUUGAUCAAGAACACCCACAACGCUUCUCCAGGCGCUACUGCUAAGUGUGCAUAUCUCAGCUUUCAAUUCUUCAGUGUAAAUAUCUCUAUAAUAACUUUCUUCCAUAGAAAUCUAGUGCAAAAGAUCCUCCCUUUUCAUAGACUAGAACACUAGUGUACUCAUAUGUAACUGCAUUUUAUGUGCCGAACACCAUUAUCUUGACAAGAGCAAAACAACCCUCUACACGAAUUGCUUAAAGCCAGCGAAUUGGGCCAGCAAUUGAGCUCUCGUAGCGAGAUUAAAAUCGUUGGUUUCUCCUUGAAAUUCAAGUCAAUAAAACAUAAAACAUAGUAGUCCUUCUAACUUUAAAAAACAUUAAAAUAAUAUUUUUUUUAUUUUUAAAAUUUAUUUUUAAUAUUAAUAAAUCAAAACGAUUUAAAAAUAUAUAAGAAAAUUAUUUUGAAGUAAAUAAAAAAAAAAAAUUUUAAACAUGAAAACAAACAGACUCCAAGAAAAAAGUUAGUUUUUACUCUAUCACGGCAAGGAAGUUGUUUUUUUUUCUUAUUCAGGUUGUUAUUGGGCUAUUAGCCCAAUAUAAUAAAUAUAAAGUUUUGUUAUUAGGCUAAUGGAUCAUCGGCCUAAAAAUACUAUUUGAACCUACUUGUAAGUUCUAACUAAAGCUACUAAGUGUGUGCUUGAGAGCGUGGUUGCGGUUGUUUUUCAAAGUGUUUUUCACCCAGAAAUGCAUUAAAAUAAUGUUUUUUCAUUUUUAAAAAAUUAUUUUUGAUAUCAGCGCAUCAAAACUAUUUAAAAACACCAAAAAAAUAUUAAUUUUAAACAAAAAAAUUCAAAAUUUUUUGGAACGCCGGUUGGACCACGUUCCUAAACGGUCCCAAAACUAGUAAACCAAAUGACAACACAUCAUAGGCGUUGCAACAACAGAAUCAAGCAUUGUCUCUCUCUUCAUCUUCUUCCUUUUAGAAACUUCAAUUGCAAUAACCAAUUUUAUCAGCUAAGAAUUAGGGUUUUUUCUUCAAAACAGUGCAUUUCACAACUCUCUCUCUCUUCACCUCUCUCAUGUAUUAGGCAUUUGAUGGAUUCAAAUAAAAUAAACCUAAAAAAAUCCUCCAAAAUAUAUUCAAGAAAAUCCUUAAAAAAAACAAAAAAAAAUCCAGCAAACAUGGGCUCGGGCAUGGUAGCUCGAGCCCAGCUCCCAAAAAGCAUGGGCUCAAGGAAAGAGCCCGAGCCCAUACACCAGGAACAUGGGAUCGGGCAAGUAGCCUGAGCCCAUGCCCCCUUCAUGGGAGCAUGGAUGCCUAGUGCAUGGGCACUAUACAGUGUACUGGGCGCCCGCCUAAUGCACCCUAGUGAGCAUACGCCCAUGUAGGGCGUACACGCAGCUGGUGCUGGGUGUGCACCCCCAACACCCUUGUAGACUUAGGCUGUCACACCUGAGCCCAGCAUGUUUGGGUCUAAACAACACGCCCAUGUCCACUUUCUCCUCUAAUGGGCUCAAGCACCUUGCUCGAGCCCAACACUCGCUAGAAAAUUGUUUUCGAACCCCAUGCUGGUUUUUCAGUAUUUUAUACUGAUCAAAUACAUAUUAUUUUGACUAGAAUACAACUCAAAAUAUCACAAGGAUGAAAUUACACUUCAGCCCUUUCUCUCCAUAAAAAGACAAGAUUUAUGAGCUAUAAAUAUACCAUGAAUCAUUCAAGUCAAAGAUUCAUAGUCUCUUCAUUUUCAACAUUUUUAGCAUACAUAUUUUCAUAGUCUAUCUCUCUAAAAUAUCAUUGCACUUUCUCUUUUUACAAAGUUACUGACUUUCCAUAAAAAGACAAGAUUUAUGAGCUAUAAAUAUAUCAUGAAUCAUUCAAGUCAAAGAUUCACAGUCUCUUCAUUUUCAACAUUUUUAGCAUACAUAUUUUCAUAGUCUAUCUCUCUAAAAUAUCAUUGCACUUUCUCUUUUUACAAAGUUACUGACUUUACAAUUAGAGAGGCAUCACGUCCAUCAAAGAUAACUUUUUGUAAAUAUCAGCUAUCGGUCACCUAACUUAACAGGCACCACCUACUACUACUAUAAUUACUGGUCACUUGCCUUAUCAGGCAUCACUUACUGCUACUUACCAACCCUCUAGACUUUUCAUAUCAAGUCAUCAGAUACCUUGAUUAUGAAAAAUGAGUCAGAUUGCUUGAAUUAAAAAGUUACCUAAUUAUUCAAUACAUCAACCUUAUUUUUAAACAUCCUGAAAUUUGAAACUCAUCAGCAUCCAUCAUUGAUAGGUUCUUACUUCAAAAUUGCCGCAUUGGAAACCUCUAGUUGAUUUUUAGUAAGAGACACCAACUUUAAUUGUCGAGCUUAGUUAGUAACAAUGCUAAAAUCUUGCGUCUAGUUUGUUAGAAAUUCAACAAAUUUCAUGUUAUUGUUAAUUAUUUUGCCCUAAUUGUAACUACUAUUUUUUAUGAUGCAUUUGUUGUCUAUGCAAACUUUUUCGUAGGGUCAUACUAGAGUGUGUGUGUGUCUAUAUAUAUAUAUAUUUAUUUAUUUUGUUAGUAGUGUGCUUGCUAACUAGGAAUGGGAAUUGCUGUCUGAUAUGACUGAAUGAUAAUGCUUGUAAUAGUCUGAUGAUGAGUUUCAUUGCAAGGGGGCUGAAUGUUAUGAUUAACAUAGGUAAAGGUAUGGUUACGGUUCUAGAUAAUUAUAUUGCUGGAAUGGUAGGAUUCCAAGUGGCUUUAUUUCUGUCUUGGCUUCUGUAUUCUUUGAUACUGGACAAAUGCUGGGAUUUGAGUAUCUUCCGUGGCUACUGUGGGUUGUGAUGGCUUGCCGCAUACUCUCAUUGUAGGACAAGAUAAUUAGAAAGCUCCCCUUUUGCAAUAAUUUUUUUUAGGACAUCCGUUUCUCUCAGCGUGUGAGCUGGCCUGUGUUCUUGGGAAAGUUGGUUUUAUUCGAAGGAAAUGCAGUGCGCUUAUCAUUAAUAGAAAGAGAAAAUGAGUUUUCUGCCUCUGGUGGACUAGAUGUAUUAUUUGAACCAUAUUUUGAACUGUGAUGGAAGCGCUCUUCGACUAGAUAAUUGUGCAGGGCAAUGCCACCUUGGAGGCCUCAUUGCUUAGGACAAAAUGUAAUUUGCAUGUCCUCACUAGAAAAUUAAUUUGUCUCUGCCUCUUGAGUUUUUAUGGUUGUGCAUCAACCUGUUUUCCUUCUUGUUUAUUGACGUUGCUUCCUACAUAUCUUUAGCCAUGACUGCUGGUGAUAGUGAGAUGGUACAAGGCUCUAUUUCUUCUGUUCUUGUUGAUUCGUUGGAGUCUAAUGAGAACGGAGAUGUGCUUUCACCUGAAGAUGUAGCUUGGGUUGAUUCUUGCCUUGUUAAAGAUCCUGAAAUUUCAGAUGGUACUGACUGGAGUUCUCUGAAAGAUGUUUUGCUAGAAAUUCUCAGUCUGCAGCCAGAGUCACAUGACUCUUCUGAACCUGGAAAUGAUGACUUGCCUAGAGGAACUGACAUUCUGAUGCAUCUAUCCAAUGAAACAGAAAAUUUACAGUCACGUGUAGUAACUGAUGAUGAGGUAGGUCUCUACAACUGAUAAAGAAAUACAAAAAAGAAGCAACGGUUUUCCAAUCAACGAGGAGAUUGAUGUUUCAUCAUCACAACUCUUUCAGGGAGAUCUCUCAGAAACUUCUCUCGAACAUGCCUUCUCGCCUAAUUGCAAGGAAGAUGACGACUCAACGAUGUGUCUGCCUGCAGGUUCAGGACUUGAUAUGGGUUUUACAGCAUCUGAUAUUGAGCCAUCAACUGAGGAUAUCUUUAAGGUUUGGGGUUCGGGCAUGGAAGAUGAGGAAGAUGAGCUUAUCAAACAGUUGAACAAGGCGCUUGCUGAAAAUCCUGUUCAAUCCACUCCAUCAUCAUCUGAUGAUUCCGGACCACGGAAAGAUUUGAAAGAGGAGUCCCUUGAUACUUUGACUCAUGGCAUUGCUGACCUGUCUUUGGAUCAACAUUCUUGACUUUACUUGACAUUGUUGACAACAUUGUACAUUUUAUAAUUUCAACUUCGUUGCACGUCUCCUGCUUCUAGCAACCGCUUUUAAUUUUGACGGACGUAGUGUUUAGAGUUCUGCGUAAGUGUGAAAUAUUUUUACAUAAGCAUUCUAUUCAACCGAAUGAAUGAUGGACCGGGCAACCUUAAAUUUAGUUGUUGUCUCUGAAAUACUGACAUGUACAUUUAAGAUUUUAUAUCUACUUCUGAUGUUCAUAUUAUACAAUGCAUUACCGUCCCAAUGAACUUGACAGGGGCUUUCCAUGACUGAAAUCUCACGUCCAAUUGAAUUCUGUACUAAUUGUGAGGAGCCGCAGCCCUACUCACAUGAUUCUCAGUUCUCGUUCUUCAGGCUUCUGCAACUGAUGUUCAGAACCACCAGUUUGACCAACGACCACGUUGAGCAAGGAAUCAAGAAUUAAGGUUCUAAUUUGUCUAAAGCCGUACUGGGGAUCCUUUAACCAAAAAACGUUGGCAAUUUGGUGCCUCUGCCAUGAAUCUAUGCUAUUUUAGUGGGUCCUUCAAAUGGAACCACCCAGUGAUAUUACCCACUAUGGGGCAUAGAAACUCGAGCCCAUCACAUAGAAAGCUGAUAUGGCAAGCUAUCUACCGUUGAGAGGGGAAUCAUAGACUAUCAAAUUUGGCUAUUAAACAAUGGCCAUUAAUCAAAUGAAGCUAAGAAACAAAACAGGAGAGAUUACAACCUCAUAUUUACUCUCCAGAGAAAUCUCCCAAGCGACACUGAUUUGGACUCGGUAACAUAGUGAAUGGGAUGCAGUUGUCUGUUCUUCUUGACAUAGAAGAGAAAAUAUCAGCUUUAUGACUCCAUAAUUUCAUUAAUUUACGAGGUGGGAAUAAAACCAUCUAUUUCAACCACGCAUACACAAAACAAAGUGUACCGUGCUAUAUAUAUCAUCCACGUGGCAAAUUGUUAUUUGUCGAUGAAGGACAGCCUCAAAUGUGACAUCUUGUGAUAACAUGGAAGCCAAAUAUAAAUUCGUGGAAGUGCAUGCAUGUGUGGUAAAGAGGCACAAGAUAGAGAGGAGAUAAGAUAUAGACACUUGUUAUAGGCUAUCUUGCACUGGCAGUGUAGUCUCCUAUCAGCAAAAACAGAAAAAAGAAAGAUGGCCUCGGCAUCAUUUCUCAAGUCAUCACCAGUUCUAGACAAGUCUGAGUUUGUUAAGGGUCAGACCCUCCGCUUGCCUUCUGCCUCCAUUGUCCGGUGCCGCUCCACCGCCCCUUCUGCUCUUACCGUUCGUGCUGGUUCCUAUGCUGAGGAGCUUGUCAAAACCGCGGUAUGUUAUAUUGUUACAUCUUUCAAUCACUUUAGCUGGAGUUAGAGUAGACACUUGCAAAAAAAAUAUGACAUGCAAUGACUUUGUCAUACAUGAUAGUGUAAAGCACAGGCUUUAAGUAGAAAGUGAUAGUACUUCUCUUGCCAGCUUUAAGUCCAUGAUAUAAGACACUGCCCUUUUAGGUUUUUUGGGUAAAUGAGACCGCACUUAUCUGUUCUUGUUUCUGGAUGUAGAAAACAAUUGCAUCUCCUGGCCGAGGUAUUUUGGCCAUGGAUGAGUCUAACGCUACCUGUGGAAAACGUCUCGCCUCAAUCGGGCUAGAGAACACCGAGGCUAACCGCCAGGCAUACCGUACCCUUCUUGUGACAGUCCCUGGCCUUGGUGAUUACGUCUCUGGUGCCAUCCUUUUUGAGGAGACUCUCUACCAAUCCACCACUGAUGGCAAGAAGAUGGUUGAUGUUCUUGUUGAGCAAAAGAUUGUUCCCGGCAUCAAAGUUGACAAGGUAAUACUCCGACACAUGUCUCCUAACAUUAAAUUUUCACGAAUUCAGAACUUUUUUUAUUGAAAUUAAACUCGUGCUUUAUUCUUGUCAUUGAGUUAACUAAAUUUGAUAGUAUAGGCAAAAGAGUAUACAUCUUAUUGUUUAUUGAACAAAAUUUUAGUAACUUACAGUUUGAAAAAUGAAAACAAUAGGGUUUGGUGCCUCUAGCUGGUUCCAAUGAUGAGUCAUGGUGCCAAGGU